This 253-nucleotide ribosomal RNA is filed under the name Eubacterium coprostanoligenes. Its description in RNAcentral is "partial 16S ribosomal RNA". It matches the Rfam family "Bacterial small subunit ribosomal RNA", at positions 524 to 776 of the family's 1533-position model. The record is from RNAcentral. Lineage: Bacteria; Bacillati; Bacillota; Clostridia; Eubacteriales; Eubacteriaceae.
UACGUAGGUGGCAAGCGUUGUCCGGAUUUACUGGGUGUAAAGGGAGCGCAGGCGGGACAGCAAGUUGGAUGUGAAAUACCGGAGCUUAACUCCGGAGCUGCAUCCAAAACUGUUGUUCUUGAGUGAAGUAGAGGUUGGCGGAAUUCCGAGUGUAGCGGUGAAAUGCGUAGAUAUUCGGAGGAACACCAGUGGCGAAGGCGGCCAACUGGGCUUUAACUGACGCUGAGGCUCGAAAGCAUGGGGAGCAAACAGG